GGGCCUCUUUCCCCUCCUCCCUCCCACCUCCAGCAGCCAGGUCUCCAACUGCCGGCCAGGCUUGGGCCUGAGUGACUUUGUCGCCUGCAGCUGCCAAUCCCAAAAAUAUUCUCUGAUGACACAGCUGGAGGUCAAGAGCCCAGACUGGCUCCUCCAGGCUAAGUAUAGAUAGAGCAGGCAGGACCACCUGCCCUCCACCCAGAGCCUCAACCCCAGGUCUUCCCUCCCACGUUGGCCUAGCAGCUGCUACGGUUGAAAAGAGCCCCAGAAAGUCUGAGGGGUUUGGGGCAUUCUGUCCUCCUGACAAAUGAUUUGAUGACUGGCCAACCCUAAGCACCCUGUGUGUGUGUGUGUGUGUGUGUGUGUGUGUGUGUGUGUGUGUGUGUGUGUGUGUGGUGGGUUGUAUGCUUGCCUGAAUGGGUCAGGUCACUUGGGGUGAAUACCCAUCACAGCCCCUUCCCCCACAUUCUUGGCGGGAGUGGGAGAUAAGGCUCAGGGCCACAGACAUCUGCGUCAGAGAUAGGAGGUCUCAAUGCCAUGGGCAGGGGCAACUGGGACUGGAGGGCGUGGGAAGGACUGGGGGAGACUGGGGAAGAAGGGUAGAAGAAGGCAAGCAGUGGGAUGGGGAGGGAAGAGUGGGGAGGUCCUAGACAGAAAGGGCACAGGGCAGAGUGUGGGCUCCCUGUCGUCAGGGCAAGAGAACUAUGGUGAUCCAGCCGUCUCUGCUGCUCCUUUUGCUGUUGACUCUACAGGAUGUGGACAGCUGCCAGGGGCCAGAACUUGUCCGGGAGCUUGUCCUGGCCAAAGUGAAGGCACUAUUCCUAGAUGCCUUGGGGCCCCCAGCAAUGGAUGGGGAAGGUGGGGGUCCUGGAAUAAGGCGGCUGCCUCGAAGACAUGCCCUUGGGGGCUUCAUGCACAGGACCUCUGAACCAGAGGAGGAGGAUGUCUCCCAGGCCAUCCUUUUCCCAGCCACAGGUAAUGAAGUUGGGGACUGGCAGGUCAACUUUGAAAAGUAGCCGGUACCUAUUUCAUGGGCUUGGGGGUCAGGCAGCUCUGGGCAAAAAUGGCAGCCCUACUGCUCAGCUGGCUUUGCAGCAAGGGGUCAGUUCCUAAGGCACUCUGAUCGUCAUCAAAUAAGUGGUGACCUCUCUUUCUCAAGCUGGACUGAUCCAGUGAGCCUAGCAUGCCUGGAAUAGGAAAGCUAAGGCUCUGUAGAGACAGAGCUCAGGUUGCUGUCUGUCCUGUGUGUCCCCUGCCUCACACACACCCUGUUUCAUUAGCUGUAGGCAGUUGGGACUUGAGAGGAUUUCAGGGAUGCAGCAGAAUGCUUAGUUGGGAAACCUGCCUAUGUUCCCAGGAGUCUCAUU
RNAcentral lists this long non-coding RNA (1367 nucleotides) under Rattus norvegicus (Norway rat). RNAcentral describes it as "long non-coding RNA NONRATT029549". Lineage: Eukaryota; Metazoa; Chordata; Mammalia; Rodentia; Muridae. The record is from RNAcentral.